UUGUUGUCAGGAGUCACUGCU
RNAcentral lists this microRNA (21 nucleotides) under Ovis aries (sheep). Its description in RNAcentral is "miRNA 34-i". Lineage: Eukaryota; Metazoa; Chordata; Mammalia; Artiodactyla; Bovidae. The record is from RNAcentral.